This 253-nucleotide ribosomal RNA is filed under the name uncultured bacterium. RNAcentral describes it as "partial 16S ribosomal RNA". It matches the Rfam family "Bacterial small subunit ribosomal RNA", at positions 524 to 776 of the family's 1533-position model. The record is from RNAcentral.
UACGGAGGAUGCAAGCGUUAUCCGGAUUUACUGGGUUUAAAGGGUGCGCAGGCGGAUAUGUAAGUCAGUGGUGAAAUCUCUAGGCUUAACCUGGAAAUUGCCGUUGAUACUAUAUAUCUUGAAUGCUGUGGAGGUAAGCGGAAUAUGUCAUGUAGCGGUGAAAUGCUUAGAUAUGACAUAGAACACCUAUUGCGAAGGCAGCUUACUACGCAGAUAUUGACGCUCAUGCACGAAAGCGUGGGGAUCAAACAGG